RNAcentral lists this ribosomal RNA (446 nucleotides) under uncultured bacterium. RNAcentral's name for it is "partial 16S ribosomal RNA". It matches the Rfam family "Bacterial small subunit ribosomal RNA", at positions 338 to 795 of the family's 1533-position model. The record is from RNAcentral.
CCUACGGGUGGCAGCAGUCGAGAAUCAUUCACAAUGGGGGAAACCCUGAUGGUGCGACGCCGCGUGGGGGAAUGAAGGUCUUCGGAUUGUAAACCCCUGUCAUGUGGGAGCAAAUUAAAAAGAUAGUACCACAAGAGGAAGAGACGGCUAACUCUGUGCCAGCAGCCGCGGUAAUACAGAGGUCUCAAGCGUUGUUCGGAAUCACUGGGCGUAAGGCGUGCGUAGGCUGUUUCGUAAGUCGUGUGUGAAAGGCGCGGGCUCAACCCGCGGACGGCACUUGAUACUGCGAGACUAGAGUAAUGGAGGGGGAACCGGAAUUCUCGGUGUAGCAGUGAAAUGCGUAGAUAUCGGGAGGAACACUCGGGGCGAAGGCGGGUUCCUGGACAUUAACUGACGCUGAGGCACGAAGGCCAGGGGAGCGAAAGGGAUUAGAUACCCCAGUAGUC